RNA transcript from Cannabis sativa, 2271 nucleotides. RefSeq lists it as uncharacterized. The record is from RefSeq and is a predicted model, not a curated record. Lineage: Eukaryota; Viridiplantae; Streptophyta; Magnoliopsida; Rosales; Cannabaceae. The transcript is spliced from 4 exons.
UCCAUUUCAUUACCUUCAACCAAAAGCUACUUUCUUCACAGAGUGAAUGGAUGAAGUCGUCUUCUCUGCAACUUGGAACCUUCGAACUACUUUCUUUCCCCCAUGGAGUUCGACUCUCUCUGAUUCCAUUCUCUAACGCUUCCGUCGGAAAAUUAAAGGUUUUCAACGGCUGCAUUAACGACUGGAAAGCUUGCUCCAGGUGGAGGCCCUCCAAUGGUGCUCUCGACUAUUUUGCUGGAACGGGUAGGAUCAUGUGUUAUGGAGGGGCAGGCUUAUGCUAUCUAACUCUGUGCCUAUCUCUACGGUGAUCUUAAAAGCCACAAGAGACUAGUUUCAUGUUCCUUUCAUUGAUGACAAUGUAAGCUCUGGAAUCUCCUCCUCUGGGACUGAGAUCUUAUUAGCUUCACAACAUUUCUGUAGGUUGCUUUACCAUUUUUUAUUUUUAUUUUAUUGGUUUUUGUAAGCAACUUUUGUAAAUUGCUGUAGAUGGUGCCAGUAGUGAUUUUGCAUAGGAAAGCCAUAGCAGUGCUUUUAUGGUAUUUUCUGGAAAACAAUAAACCAUUAUUUUCUUACCAUGGAGAAACUUGUUCAUUGUAGUGAUUUCAUGGCCUCCUUCUGUCAGUCCCAUGUUUUCUCCUAUGCCUAUAUAUGGAGAUGCAUCAAAUUCACAGGUAAUGUAUUUUAUAUAUUGCUCGUUGGAUCUAAAUUUCUUUUGUUCACAUCAACUUAAACAAAAAAGAAAAAGAAAAUCUACUGUGAUUGGGUGUGUGAUAGUAAUCAGGUAUCCAUUCUUGCGGUCUUCAACGUCUGAUUAUAUUUUCUUUUCCAAUUUUGCUGUUUUCAGUUUUUUGGUAGUUUUCUUGCCAUAGAAAAUCCAGAUUUAUUAGUUUGUCUGCGAGUAUGCUGAAUGGAGUUCACAGAGAAGAUUACUCCCCAUGAAGGUGGAUGCGCAUUCAUUCAUGUUCCUUCUUUCAAUCUAAAUUUAUAUACAUGGAAGAUUGGUAGUAGAGGGAAAUGGUAUGUAUCUCACUCAUAUAAAGAUAUAUGUAUAUAGAGUACAUGCAUCUAUCGACCAACAAUUUCUAUCCGAAUGCUCCUAUUUUAUGUUAGCAGCAUAUCUGUUGCUGCAGGUAAGAUAAACAAUUGUCCUAGACCCUAGUGUUAUUUGGCUUUACAUGGGAGUAUUUAUACUUUUCCCAAAAUUAUAACAUUAGUAAAAGUUUUAAAGCUUUAGGAUUAUAACCAGACACCAGUUACCGCAUUAUCCUGCAAUUUUAGUUGUUGAACUUACCACCUGUUUCUAGUAAUUAAAAUUUAGCCAAUUACUAUGUGGAUGUUUUAUUUUUCCUUCUUUUGCCAUACCAAGUUUCCAUAAAAUUUCUUAAUGGCUAUUCAACUGACCCUGAGCCAAAAGUGGCUUACAUGCACUUAGGUUAAUAAGUUUUUGGGGAAAUCUUUCACUUAUUUAUUCAAUUUGCCAGCUGUCUAACUUAAUUUAUUCUUAUCUCUGCUUUGUAACUCAGGGAAUUAGAUUCAUUGUGCUUUCUUUUGAUUUUCUGAUCAGUAGGCACACUUGGUGCUUAAUUGAGACUAAGAAUCUCAAUAUCAAGAGAUCCAAGGUUCGAACCUUGGUCUCAUUCUAAUUCCCAACCCUCACUGCUAGACCAAAAUCUAUUGGCUUAUUUAUUUGUUACUUAAUUGACCAUAGACCUAUUUCCCUUUUUUACUUAGGAGUAUUGAACACACCUGUAAUUUUGAGUUUCAUGUUACUUUUAACAAGAGACAUCUCAAAUACGGGACAUCCUAAUUCGGUUGAAUGGGAUGACAGUUUCUCUGGGCCAUGUGUUAUGUGUUGAGAACGGGAAUUGAACUUUAUGAGAUCUAACCUCCUGUUGUUCCUCAGUAGCUCAGUGGUAGAGCGGUCGGCUGUUAACCGAUUGGUCGUAGGUUCGAAUCCUACUUGGGGAGAUUUGAUUCAUUCUGUGCUUUCUUUUUGAUUUGUCUAACGCAAUAUUUUUACUGAGCACUGCUAAAUAUUUAUUUGCACUUUUUGAAUCGGAACAGAAUGAAGUCCUAUGUGUUUUCUAAAAAUACAGAAUAUAAAGAGGCAUACAUGUGCACUGGUUGCUAAUGAAGUAGGUAAGUUUGCUAGGAUUUAUAUUUUGAAAUUUGGUUUUAUUUUUUCACGGAGAAAAAGUUAGAGAUAUGAAACUCUUUUAAUUUGAUGUCAGAUUGUAGCACUCGUGAAUUUGAUAUGCAUGUAGAACAAUU